Molecule: long non-coding RNA, 138 nt
Organism: Haliotis rubra (blacklip abalone)
Lineage: Eukaryota; Metazoa; Mollusca; Gastropoda; Lepetellida; Haliotidae
Exons: 2
Source: RefSeq, a predicted model, not a curated record
GAGUCACCCUUCGUUGACUCAGUGAAGGGCACAUCUCCAACGAUCUUCACUUCAGUGCCUUCUCAGGAAACAACCAACCCUCAGGAUACUGAGUUCACUGUCAAACCUUCGACUGAUAAGAUUAUCUUGGUAACCAAA